GAUGAACGCUGGCGGCGUGCCUAAUACAUGCAAGUCGAGCGAACGGACGAGAAGCUUGCUUCUCUGAUGUUAGCGGCGGACGGGUGAGUAACACGUGGAUAACCUACCUAUAAGACUGGGAUAACUUCGGGAAACCGGAGCUAAUACCGGAUAAUAUUUUGAACCGCAUGGUUCAAAAGUGAAAGACGGUCUUGCUGUCACUUAUAGAUGGAUCCGCGCUGCAUUAGCUAGUUGGUAAGGUAACGGCUUGCCAAGGCAACGAUGCAUAGCCGACCUGAGAGGGUGAUCGGCCACACUGGAACUGAGACACGGUCCAGACUCCUACGGGAGGCAGCAGUAGGGAAUCUUCCGCAAUGGGCGAAAGCCUGACGGAGCAACGCCGCGUGAGUGAUGAAGGUCUUCGGAUCGUAAAACUCUGUUAUUAGGGAAGAACAUAUGUGUAAGUAACUGUGCACAUCUUGACGGUACCUAAUCAGAAAGCCACGGCCAACUACGUG
This 497-nucleotide ribosomal RNA is filed under the name uncultured bacterium. Its description in RNAcentral is "partial 16S ribosomal RNA". It matches the Rfam family "Bacterial small subunit ribosomal RNA", at positions 28 to 507 of the family's 1533-position model. The record is from RNAcentral.